CGUAGGAUCAUAUCACAAGGGGAUGUAGCUCAGAUGGUAGAGCGCUCGCUUAGCAUGCGAGAGGUACGGGGAUCGAUACCCCGCAUCUCCAU
RNAcentral lists this transfer RNA (92 nucleotides) under Helianthus annuus (common sunflower). RNAcentral's name for it is "hypothetical non coding rna". The stretch from base 19 to 91 matches the Rfam family "tRNA". From Rfam's summary of the family: Transfer RNA (tRNA) molecules are approximately 80 nucleotides in length. The record is from RNAcentral. Lineage: Eukaryota; Viridiplantae; Streptophyta; Magnoliopsida; Asterales; Asteraceae.